This 575-nucleotide ribosomal RNA is filed under the name uncultured bacterium. Its description in RNAcentral is "bacterial SSU rRNA". It matches the Rfam family "Bacterial small subunit ribosomal RNA", at positions 491 to 1065 of the family's 1533-position model. The record is from RNAcentral.
CGCCAGGCUAACUCUGUGCCAGCAGCCGCGGUAAUACAGAGGGUGCAAGCGUUAAUCGGAUUUACUGGGCGUAAAGCGCGCGUAGGCGGCUAAUUAAGUCAAAUGUGAAAUCCCCGAACUUAACUUGGGAAUUGCAUUCGAUACUGGUUAGCUAGAGUGUGGGAGAGGAUGGUAGAAUUCCAGGUGUAGCGGUGAAAUGCGUAGAGAUCUGGAGGAAUACCGAUGGCGAAGGCAGCCAUCUGGCCUAACACUGACGCUGGGGUGCGAAAGCAUGGGGAGCAAACAGGAUUAGAUACCCUGGUAGUCCAUGCCGUAAACGAUGUCUACUAGCCGUUGGGGCCUUUGAGGCUUUAGUGGCGCAGCUAACGCGAUAAGUAGACCGCCUGGGGAGUACGGUCGCAAGACUAAAACUCAAAUGAAUUGACGGGGGCCCGCACAAGCGGUGGAGCAUGUGGUUUAAUUCGAUGCAACGCGAAGAAGCUUACCUGGCCUUGACAUAGUAAGAACUUUCCAGAGAUGGAUUGGUGCCUUCGGGAACUUACUACAGGUGCUGCAUGGCUGUCGUCAGCUCGUGU